AGACAAACACGCUCGGUAUCGCUCGUUGCACGCGAAACGCAUCGGCCGCUGCAAAUUGCCGAGACAAGCGGCGCGCAGUGGUUCUAGAGCGUAUAAUUAGCAGGGGAAAAGUCGAAAAUUGCAGGUAGAAGAAUAUAAGCAUCGAGAGAGAAGGAGAGAGAUGAGUUUUGCUUUUGAUUACUCGUACCGCGUACGAUUAAAAUGGAUGAGACUUAAGGGAUAUAAAAAUGCAAAUAAAGUUCCAGGUAAAUGAGAAGCAGAAUAAACAGGAGCAGACGAAAAUAAUUAGGAACAUAAUAAGAAGAAUAUUUAUAUGCAUAUGUAAUCAUUGGGUUUACUGUAAAAUUAAAAUUAAAUGUACACACACCAAGAGGGAAGUAAUCCUGCAGUGAAAAUGUGGAGUUGGUUCUAUUAAUUAGUGUGUUACAAUUAUUUAUGCAAAUUCUGUUUUUCAUAGACGAUUUCACGAGAAACUGGAAAUUUCGCGAUGUAUGAAAUAUGUAAUAUUAUAAUUCAAGUGUUCGUUAAGUUGUAA
This is a long non-coding RNA of Nomia melanderi (Alkali bee), 535 nucleotides long. RefSeq lists it as uncharacterized. NCBI's taxonomy places the organism in Eukaryota, Metazoa, Arthropoda, Insecta, Hymenoptera, Halictidae. The record is from RefSeq and is a predicted model, not a curated record.